AACGAACGCUGGCGGCGUGCUUAACACAUGCAAGUCGAACGGAAGCACCCUACUUUUUUGCUGUGCUCGGUGGCCAAUCGCGGACGGAACAGGUGAAUAACCUACUCUUCUUUUUCGUGUGCCUUCACGUAGCUGAGCCUACUACCAUAUAGCAUCUCCUCUUCCGGUGUGAGCAUUGGAACUUUUCACCUUUUGCGAAUGAACUAGCCGAUGUCGGAUUAGCUAGUUGGCGGGGUAAAGGCCCACCAAGGCGACGAUCCGUAGCUGGUCUGAGAGGAUGAUCAGCCACACUGGAACUGAGACACGGUCCAGACUCCUACGGGAGGCAGCAGUGGGGAAUAUUGGACAAUGGGCGCAAGCCUGAUCCAGCCAUACCGCGUGGGUGAAGAAGGCCUUCGGGUUGUAAAGCCCUUUUGUUGGGAAAGAAAAGCAGCAGGUUAAUACCCCGCUGUUCUGACGGUACCCAAAGAAUAAGCACCGGCUAACUUCGUG
RNAcentral lists this ribosomal RNA (492 nucleotides) under uncultured bacterium. Its description in RNAcentral is "partial 16S ribosomal RNA". It matches the Rfam family "Bacterial small subunit ribosomal RNA", at positions 29 to 507 of the family's 1533-position model. The record is from RNAcentral.